This 446-nucleotide ribosomal RNA is filed under the name uncultured bacterium. Its description in RNAcentral is "bacterial SSU rRNA". It matches the Rfam family "Bacterial small subunit ribosomal RNA", at positions 330 to 792 of the family's 1533-position model. The record is from RNAcentral.
UCCAGACUCCUACGGGAGGCAGCAGUGGGGGAUAUUGCACAAUGGGGGGAACCCUGAUGCAGCGACGCCGCGUGGGUGAAGGAGCGUUUCGGCGCGUAAAGCCCUCUCGGCAGGGAAGAAGGAGGACGGUACCUGACUAAGAAGCCCCGGCUAAAUACGUGCCAGCAGCCGCGGUAAUACGUAGGGGGCAAGCGUUAUCCGGAUUUACUGGGUGUAAAGGGGGCGCAGACGGCAGCGCAAGCCAGGAGUGAAAGCCCGGGGCCCAACCCCGGGACUGCUCUUGGAACUGCGCGGCUGGAGUGCAGGAGGGGCAGGCGGAAUUCCUGGUGUAGCGGUGAAAUGCGUAGAUAUCAGGAGGAACACCGGUGGCGAAGGCGGCCUGCUGGACUGCGACUGACGUUGAGGCCCGAAAGCGUGGGGAGCAAACAGGAUUAGAUACCCUUGUA